Molecule: ribosomal RNA, 1441 nt
Filed under: uncultured organism
Description: SSU rRNA
Rfam family: Bacterial small subunit ribosomal RNA
Source: RNAcentral
CAUGAUGAACGCUAGCGACAGGCUUAACACAUGCAAGUCGAGGGGCAGCGGGGGUAGCGAUACCCGCCGGCGACCGGCGCACGGGUGAGUAACGCGUAUGCAACUUGCCUAUCAGAGGGGGAUAACCCGGCGAAAGUCGGACUAAUACCGCAUGAAGCAGGGGCCCCGCAUGGGGAUAUUUGCUAAAGAUUCAUCGCUGAUAGAUAGGCAUGCGUUCCAUUAGGCAGUUGGCGGGGUAACGGCCCACCAAACCGACGAUGGAUAGGGGUUCUGAGAGGAAGGUCCCCCACAUUGGUACUGAGACACGGACCAAACUCCUACGGGAGGCAGCAGUGAGGAAUAUUGGUCAAUGGCCGAGAGGCUGAACCAGCCAAGUCGCGUGAGGGAUGAAGGUUCUAUGGAUCGUAAACCUCUUUUAUAAGGGAAUAAAGUGCGGGACGUGUCCCGUUUUGUAUGUACCUUAUGAAUAAGGAUCGGCUAACUCCGUGCCAGCAGCCGCGGUAAUACGGAGGAUCCGAGCGUUAUCCGGAUUUAUUGGGUUUAAAGGGUGCGUAGGCGGCCUUUUAAGUCAGCGGUGAAAGUCUGUGGCUCAACCAUAGAAUUGCCGUUGAAACUGGGGGGCUUGAGUAUGUUUGAGGCAGGCGGAAUGCGUGGUGUAGCGGUGAAAUGCAUAGAUAUCACGCAGAACCCCGAUUGCGAAGGCAGCCUGCCAAGCCAUUACUGACGCUAAUGCACGAAAGCGUGGGGAUCAAACAGGAUUAGAUACCCUGGUAGUCCACGCAGUAAACGAUGAUCACUAGCUGUUUGCGAUACACUGUAAGCGGCACAGCGAAAGCGUUAAGUGAUCCACCUGGGGAGUACGCCGGCAACGGUGAAACUCAAAGGAAUUGACGGGGGCCCGCACAAGCGGAGGAACAUGUGGUUUAAUUCGAUGAUACGCGAGGAACCUUACCCGGGUUUGAACGCAUUCGGACCGAGGUGGAAACACCUUUUCUAGCAAUAGCCGUUUGCGAGGUGCUGCAUGAUUGUCGUCAGCUCGUGCCGUGAGGUGUCGGCUUAAGUGCCAUAACGAGCGCAACCCUUGCCACUAGUUACUAACAGGUAAAGCUGAGGACUCUGGUGGAACUGCCAGCGUAAGCUGCGAGGAAGGCGGGGAUGACGUCAAAUCAGCACGGCCCUUACAUCCGGGGCGACACACGUGUUACAAUGGCGUGGACAAAGGGAGGCCACCUGGCGACAGGGAGCGAAUCCCCAAACCACGUCUCAGUUCGGAUCGGAGUCUGCAACCCGACUCCGUGAAGCUGGAUUCGCUAGUAAUCGCGCAUCAGCCAUGGCGCGGUGAAUACGUUCCCGGGCCUUGUACACACCGCCCGUCAAGCCAUGGGAGCCGGGGGUACCUGAAGUCCGUAACCGAAAGGAUCGGCCUAGGGUAAAACUGGUG